UGCCGGCGUCGGAAGGCUGGAAUUGCUAGCGGUACAUCGGUCGUUGAGCGUGAAUCGCUUCAGACAAACUCUGGGUGGCAGCCAGUAGCGUUAGCAUUCAUCGCCAGCUGUGCAAGAGUAUGCCGAAAGCCUGUCCCCCCUCCUACCUCGGCUCACCUCUUGUGAUGACCGGUCAUUGACUUUUUAAGGUAGGCCUAUGUAUAUAUGUUGUCCGUGAUGUGCAAGUGUCACGGUGACUUAUUAUAGCGUGAUGGUUUAUUGAAGCCUUUUAAACUAAACGUUUUCCCCCUACAGGCCUUCGA
Molecule: long non-coding RNA, 302 nt
Organism: Alosa sapidissima (American shad)
Lineage: Eukaryota; Metazoa; Chordata; Actinopteri; Clupeiformes; Clupeidae
Exons: 3
Source: RefSeq, a predicted model, not a curated record